RNAcentral lists this unclassified non-coding RNA (324 nucleotides) under uncultured Aspergillus. RNAcentral's name for it is "sequence contains ITS1". The stretch from base 1 to 105 matches the Rfam family "5.8S ribosomal RNA", at positions 50 to 154 of the family's 154-position model. Lineage: Eukaryota; Fungi; Ascomycota; Eurotiomycetes; Eurotiales; Aspergillaceae. The record is from RNAcentral.
GAAAUGCGAUACGUAAUGUGAAUUGCAGAAUUCAGUGAAUCAUCGAGUCUUUGAACGCACAUUGCGCCCCCUGGUAUUCCGGGGGGCAUGCCUGUCCGAGCGUCAUUGCUGCCCUCAAGCACGGCUUGUGUGUUGGGCCCCCGUCCCCCUCCCAGGAAGGGGACGGGCCCGAAAGGCAGCGGCGGCACCGUGUCCGGUCCUCGAGCGUAUGGGAAGCAACUUUUUGUCACCCGCUCCUGUAGGUCCGGCCGGCGGCCUGCCCAACCCCAACCUUUUUUUAACCAGGUUGACCUCGGAUCAGGUAGGGAUACCCGCUGAACUUAA